Molecule: ribosomal RNA, 699 nt
Filed under: uncultured bacterium
Lineage: Bacteria
Description: bacterial SSU rRNA
Rfam family: Bacterial small subunit ribosomal RNA
Source: RNAcentral
AGAGUUUGAUCCUGGCUCAGAAUCAACGCUGGCGGCGUGCCUAACACAUGCAAGUCGAGCGAGAAAGGGAGCUUCGGUUCCCAAGUAAAGCGGCGGACGGGUGAGUAACACGUGGGUAAUCUGCCCUCGGGUGGGGAAUAACUCAGGGAAACCUGGACUAAUUCCGCAUGAUAUUCCCGAUACUCAAGUAUUGGAAAUCAAAGCUGGGGACCCUUCGGGGCCUGGCGCCUGAGGAGGAGCCCGCGGCCAAUUAGCUUGUUGGUGGGGUAAUGGCCCACCAAGGCUUCGAUUGGUAGCCGGCCUGAGAGGGCGGACGGUCACACUGGGACUGAGACACGGCCCAGACUCCUACGGGAGGCAGCAGUGGGGAAUUUUUGUCAAUGGGGGAAACCCUGAACAAGCAACGCCGCGUGGAGGGCGAAGACCCUCGGGUUGUAAACUCCUGUCGGAGGGGACGAAAGUGCAGGUGGUUAAUACCCAUCAGUAUUGACGGUACCCUACGAGGAAGCCCCGGCUAACUCCGUGCCAGCAGCCGCGGUAAUACGGGGGGGGCAAGCGUUGUUCGGAAUUACUGGGCGUAAAGGGCGCGUAGGCGGACCAGACAGUCUCUCGUGAAAUCCCACGGCUCAACCGUGGAACUGCGGGAGAUACUACUGGUCUUGAGUUCGGGAGAGGAGUGUGGAAUUCCCAGUGUAGCGG